Molecule: ribosomal RNA, 484 nt
Filed under: uncultured bacterium
Lineage: Bacteria
Description: partial 16S ribosomal RNA
Rfam family: Bacterial small subunit ribosomal RNA
Source: RNAcentral
AUUGAACGCUGGCGGCAUGCUUUACACAUGCAAGUCGAACGGCAGCGCGGGCUUCGGCCUGGCGGCUAGUGGCGAACGGGUGAGUAAUACAUCUGAACGUGCCCAGUAUUGGGGGAUAGCUCCGCGAAAACCGGGUUAAUACCGCAUACGACCUGAGCGUGAAAGCGGGGGAUCUUCGGACCUCGCGCUAUUUUAGCGGCCGAUGGCAGAUUAGAUAGUUUGUGGGGUAAAGGCCUACCAAGGCGACGAUAUGUAGCUGGUCUGAGAGAGCGGCAAGCCGCCCUGGGAGUGGGACAGGGACAAUAGUACUAAGGGACGGAGCAGUCGGCAACGUUGGACAAAGGUCGAAAGCAUGAUACAGCAGGGGCGAGUGUGUGGUGACGGCCUUGGGUGUGUAAAGCACUUUUGGCGGGAGUGAACAGCAUUGUGCCGAUACGAAGGGUAGAUGACGGUACCCGCAGAAGAAGCACCGGCUAACUACGUG